This 346-nucleotide ribosomal RNA is filed under the name uncultured bacterium. RNAcentral describes it as "partial 16S ribosomal RNA". It matches the Rfam family "Bacterial small subunit ribosomal RNA", at positions 338 to 681 of the family's 1533-position model. The record is from RNAcentral.
CCUACGGGAGGCAGCAGUGAGGAAUAUUGGUCAAUGGGCGCGAGCCUGAACCAGCCAAGUAGCGUGAAGGAUGACUGCCCUACGGGUUGUAAACUUCGUUUAUAAAGGAAUAAAGUGAGGCACGUGUGCCUUUUUGUAUGUACUUUAUGAAUAAGGAUAGGCUAACUCCGUGCCAGCAGCCGCGGUAAUACGGAGGGUCCGAGCGUUAUCCGGAUUUAGUGGGUUUAAAGGGAGCGUAGAGGGGUUGUUAAGUCAGUUGUGAAAGUUGGCGGCUCAACCGGAAAAUUGCCAUUGAUACUGGCAGUCUUGCGUACAGUUUCGGUCGGCGGCAUUCGUGGUGUAGCCG